AGAGUGCGUAAUAGCUCACUAGUCGAGAGGUCCUGCGCCGAAAAUGUCCGGGGCUAAAACACACCACCGAAGCUAUGGAAUGUGAAAACAUUGGUAGAGGAGCAUUCUUAACGUGACGAAGCUGUACCGGAAGGAGCAGUGGAGUGUUAAGAAGAGAGAAUGCCGGAAUGAGUAGCGAGAUUUAAGUGAGAAUCUUAAAGGCCGAAUAUCUAAGGUUUCCAGGGUAAAGCUGAUCUUCCCUGGGUAAGUCGGGGCCUAAGGCGAGGACGAAAGUCGUAGUCGAUGGAUAACAGGUAGAAAUUCCUGUACCACAUACAAACAGAACUGUGGGGACGCAGAGAGAAAGCCAGAGCCGGAAAUGGAAAAGCCGGUGCAAGCGAGGUAUCCGUAAGGGAGGCAAAACCCCCUUGCAAGGAGAAGACGUAAUGCGGAGUGAACUAUAAGUAACGAAGCUGGUGAGCUAGCUGCCAAGAAAAGCCGCUAUUGUUUUGUAUGUGCCCGUACCGUAAACCGACACAGGUGGAUGAGGAGAGAAUCCUAAGGCCGGCGGGAGAAGUGUUGUUAAGGAACUCGGCAAAAUGACUCCGUAACUUCGGGAGAAGGAGUGCCACAGAGAUGUGGCCGCAGAGAAAUGGCCCAAGCAACUGUUUAGCAAAAACACAGGUCUAUGCAAAACCGAAAGGUGAGGUAUAUGGGCUGACGCCUGCCCGGUGCUGGAAGGUUAAGAGGAGAGGUUAGCGCAAGCGAAGCUUUGAAUUUAAGCCCCAGUAAACGGCGGCCGUAACUAUAACGGUCCUAAGGUAGCGAAAUUCCUUGUCGGGUAAGUUCCGACCCGCACGAAAGGCGUAAUGAUUUGGGCACUGUCUCGACAACACACCCGGUGAAAUUGAAAUACCAGUGAAGAUGCUGGUUACCUGCGCCAGGACGGAAAGACCCCAUGGAGCUUUACUCCAGUUUGAUACUGGGAUUCGGUACUGUCUGUACAGGAUAGGUGGGAAGCUAGGAAAUGAUGACGCCAGUUGUCAUGGAGCUGACCUUGGGAUACCACCCUUACAGUACUGGGUUUCUAACCUGCAGCCGUGACCCGGCUGGGGGACAAUGUCUGACGGGGAGUUUGACUGGGGCGGUCGCCUCCGAAAGGGUAUCGGAGGCGCUCAAAGG
This 1161-nucleotide ribosomal RNA is filed under the name human gut metagenome. RNAcentral's name for it is "bacterial LSU rRNA". It matches the Rfam family "Bacterial large subunit ribosomal RNA", at positions 1127 to 2316 of the family's 2925-position model. The record is from RNAcentral.